UGCAGGAAGCAUUCUGCAUCAUCCAAGCUUGACCAAAUGAAGAGCGGGGCUCUUUAAGAGGCCAUGACACCCUCCACAUUCUGAUACUGCUAUGGCAACUCCAGAUUGUUACCUGCCACUGGACCCUUCCUCCCACCCUCAGAAACAUCACCACAGGCAGUGGCAUUCGCUUAGGGCUCUGGCAACUUCAUCCUUGUUUAUCUGAUUAAGAACUCUCAUUUAUUGAAGGGCACAAAGUGAUUCUCUACAGUAAGUUAAGGGUGACAGCUAUUGUCAUCCAUGACUCCUUCUUAAUUAAGCUCUUUGACUUUGUUUGUUUGAAACAUCAUGUGCUGUUUUCUCUAAACCUAGAUCCUGGAUUAAUGACUGCCAGAACCAUCAGCAUGGCAGCAUGUUCCAGUGCUCCAACAGCUCCAGGGAUAGAAAUGAACCUCCUAGAACACCAGAUCUUGUCCUGCUAGCUGGCCAACACUCUACAGGAGCUUGAAGAUCUCAAGGAAAAGCUUCUUCCAUCUGAGCCUACUGCCUAUGCCCUGGACAAGCAGCUACAAAACACCAAUGUGAGCUGUGCAAAGUCAUCAUGCAGCCUGUGCUGGGGGAGAACAUCCAAUGUGAGGAGGAGCAGCUGGCAGAGAGCCCACCUGUCACCAAGAGGCUGAGGGAAUUCAAUAUCUCACUCCAUCCUCACACAAGACAACUGAGACAACUAAAGCAGAAGCUACAGGAACAGAGAGAUGCCUCCAUCUUACUCCUUCAGCAUCUCAAAGAUCUGCUCACAGUGGACAGCCCUGAGAGCUGCCUGAACCAGGGCCUCUGGGAUCGACUUUCUCAGGGACAUCAUCUGGCAGAGCACCGUGCCCACAAGCUCAGCCAAGAUGUUCAUGACCAUCUGAAAGAGCAAGAACAAUGAUCCCUGGCAUUUCUGGCCCUCAGUGUCAACAGUGAGCAGCCUGAGAGGCAAGUGAAUGAUGUCCUAUUAGAUUCAUCAGCUAAGAGAACUGUGAUUGGAUGCUCCCUUUCUAUUGAAGAUUCCUCGCAACCUGCAGGGUGAUGCUCAUGAACGCUCACACACUAGCAGCCACGAGUGUCGUGUCUUUGACCACCUGAUGAUGAAAGGAAAGCUGCAAUCAAGGAAAGUGGAAAGCAUCGUGCAGAAUCCCAGUCUUCCAACCUAGGAUGCAGAGAUACCAAAGAUUGCUGCAGUUAUGAAAGGAUACUGCAAAGAUAUAUACCCAAAUGUGCUGCAACAGUCAAAGAAAAAAUAUAAAAAAUAUUGCAGAUAUAUAUGCCCAAAUGCGCUACAACAGUCAAAGAGAAAAAAAAAAUACACAAAACAUCAAUGCAAACAGAACAAUAGAAAUGAAUUUCAAUAUCACAUUCCACACUUAGCAAUUGAUAUUCCCACAGGCAGGUUGGAGGAAGGCCAUCAGAGUCCAUCAGCCUCCACCUGGUUAAACACCUAAGCAGACCAAGGCCCAGAGCCUCAGACUGUUGGGAGUCUUUAACUCUCAUUGCCAUCCUGCCAAGAAGCAGCAUCAAGACCAGCUGCACUGUGACAACAGCCCCACUGGACAUGCGCUGUCUCCACAUGGGAUGCUGCAGGAGCAGUCAGGAAUAAGGAUGCAGUGCUCUUGAUGAAAAGGUUUACCUGGAGGGAAUCAUGAGGAGAUGACCUGAAAACAGGAGAAUAUAGACCAUUGAUUGAGACAUUU
Ochotona curzoniae (black-lipped pika) is the source of this 1712-nucleotide long non-coding RNA. RefSeq lists it as uncharacterized. The transcript is spliced from 7 exons. The record is from RefSeq and is a predicted model, not a curated record. Lineage: Eukaryota; Metazoa; Chordata; Mammalia; Lagomorpha; Ochotonidae.